This 23-nucleotide ribosomal RNA is filed under the name Zoanthus gigantus. RNAcentral describes it as "partial 28S ribosomal RNA". Lineage: Eukaryota; Metazoa; Cnidaria; Anthozoa; Zoantharia; Zoanthidae. RNAcentral also lists the same sequence under 2 other names. The record is from RNAcentral.
GACCUCAGAUCAGGCAAGACUAC